GCGUGAUCGAUGAAGGCCUUAGGGUUGUAAAGAUCUUUCGCCGGGGACGAUAAUGACGGUACCCGGAGAAGAAGCUCCGGCUAACUUCGUGCCAGCAGCCGCGGUAAUACGAAGGGAGCUAGCGUUGUUCGGAAUUACUGGGCGUAAAGCGCGUGUAGGCUGAUUGGCAAGUUGGGGGUGAAAUCCCAGGGCUCAACCCUGGAACUGCCUCCAAAACUGCCAGUCUGGAGUCCGGAAGAGGUGAGUGGAAUUCCGAGUGUAGAGGUGAAAUUCGU
RNAcentral lists this ribosomal RNA (275 nucleotides) under uncultured bacterium. RNAcentral describes it as "partial 16S ribosomal RNA". It matches the Rfam family "Bacterial small subunit ribosomal RNA", at positions 399 to 691 of the family's 1533-position model. The record is from RNAcentral.